GAUGAACGCUGGCGGCGUGCUUAACACAUGCAAGUCGAACGAUGAAGCCCAGCUUGCUGGGUGGAUUAGUGGCGAACGGGUGAGUAACACGUGAGUAACCUGCCCUUAACUCUGGGAUAAGCCUGGGAAACUGGGUCUAAUACCGGAUAGGAGCGCCUACCGCAUGGUGGGUGUUGGAAAGAUUUAUCGGUUUUGGAUGGACUCGCGGCCUAUCAGCUUGUUGGUGAGGUAAUGGCUCACCAAGGCGACGACGGGUAGCCGGCCUGAGAGGGUGACCGGCCACACUGGGACUGAGACACGGCCCAGACUACUACGGGCGGCCGCCGUGGGGGCUCUUGCCCGCUGGGCGCAAGCCUGAUGCAGCGACGCCGCGUGAGGGAUGACGGCCUUCGGGUUGUAAACCUCUUUCAGUAGGGAAGACGCGAAAGUGCCGGUCCCUGCCGCAGAAGCCCCGGCUCCCUCCGUG
Molecule: ribosomal RNA, 466 nt
Filed under: uncultured bacterium
Lineage: Bacteria
Description: partial 16S ribosomal RNA
Rfam family: Bacterial small subunit ribosomal RNA
Source: RNAcentral